AGAUUUUAUUAGUAACUAUACUAAAUCAAGAAUCGAGCAAAUGCGAUAUACAACAUACUACCAUGCACCCAUGCAGACUACACAUAUAUACUUAAAAGCUAAACCGACGAUCAACCCACCUCAAUAGUUAAUUCCAAUCCGGUGCGACGUCGAGAACAGCGGAAUCGCACCCUCGCCCGGCCUCCUCGCGAUGCUACGACGACGAACGUACACUCGAACGGCACCGCGACGCGACGUCGACGAUGAUCCGAGCUCCAACGACAACUCCACCACGUACG
This 278-nucleotide long non-coding RNA is filed under the name Ananas comosus (pineapple). Its description in RNAcentral is "long non-coding RNA (ACOM_LNC009263)". The record is from RNAcentral. Lineage: Eukaryota; Viridiplantae; Streptophyta; Magnoliopsida; Poales; Bromeliaceae.